Molecule: ribosomal RNA, 865 nt
Filed under: uncultured bacterium
Lineage: Bacteria
Description: bacterial SSU rRNA
Rfam family: Bacterial small subunit ribosomal RNA
Source: RNAcentral
UGCAAGUCGAGCGGAUGACGGGAGCUUGCUCCUUGAUUCAGCGGCGGACGGGUGAGUAAUGCCUAGGAAUCUGCCUGGUAGUGGGGGACAACGUUUCGAAAGGAACGCUAAUACCGCAUACGUCCUACGGGAGAAAGCAGGGGACCUUCGGGCCUUGCGCUAUCAGAUGAGCCUAGGUCGGAUUAGCUAGUUGGUGAGGUAAUGGCUCACCAAGGCGACGAUCCGUAACUGGUCUGAGAGGAUGAUCAGUCACACUGGAACUGAGACACGGUCCAGACUCCUACGGGAGGCAGCAGUGGGGAAUAUUGGACAAUGGGCGAAAGCCUGAUCCAGCCAUGCCGCGUGUGUGAAGAAGGUCUUCGGAUUGUAAAGCACUUUAAGUUGGGAGGAAGGGCAGUAAGCUAAUACCUUUCUGUUUUGACGUUACCGACAGAAUAAGCACCGGCUAACUCUGUGCCAGCAGCCGCGGUAAUACAGAGGGUGCAAGCGUUAAUCGGAAUUACUGGGCGUAAAGCGCGCGUAGGUGGUUCGUUAAGUUGGAUGUGAAAGCCCCGGGCUCAACCUGGGAACUGCAUCCAAAACUGGCGAGCUAGAGUACGGUAGAGGGUGGUGGAAUUUCCUGUGUAGCGGUGAAAUGCGUAGAUAUAGGAAGGAACACCAGUGGCGAAGGCGACCACCUGGACUGAUACUGACACUGAGGUGCGAAAGCGUGGGGAGCAAACAGGAUUAGAUACCCUGGUAGUCCACGCCGUAAACGAUGUCAACUAGCCGUUGGAAUCCUUGAGAUUUUAGUGGCGCAGCUAACGCAUUAAGUUGACCGCCUGGGGAGUACGGCCGCAAGGUUAAAACUCAAAUGAAUUGACGG